This 343-nucleotide transfer-messenger RNA is filed under the name Magnetospirillum sp. It matches the Rfam family "Alphaproteobacteria transfer-messenger RNA". From Rfam's summary of the family: Bacterial tmRNA, also known as 10Sa RNA or SsrA, is named for its dual tRNA and mRNA-like properties. Its role is to liberate the mRNA from a stalled ribosome. The record is from RNAcentral. RNAcentral also lists the same sequence under 1 other name. Lineage: Bacteria; Pseudomonadati; Pseudomonadota; Alphaproteobacteria; Rhodospirillales; Rhodospirillaceae.
CCCCUUCCCCUGGCGAGGCAAAAACCCUAUAUUCGGCGGUGCCGGGCAACCGGCUAUGACGAUAAACGGCUUGCGUAAUAGCCGAUGCGGACCCGGGGGCAGUGCCCGGCGCCUCCACCAUCUCCGGUCGCUUGUCGAGGCCGUAGGGGGGCGAACCAGGAUCGACGCGCGGGUAAAGGCAUGACUUUCGUUCGGCAUGGUUCCGCCGUUAUCGGGCCAUUCAAGAGAUGCCAACGACAACGUGGCUCUCGCUUCGGAAGCGCGUCUCGCGGCCUAACGGCCCCUUGAUACGUAACCUGUAGCGCGGUUCGGGGGGGCACCGGGCAACAGAAGCCCCCCCACU